RNAcentral lists this transfer RNA (88 nucleotides) under Candidatus Bathyarchaeota archaeon. RNAcentral's name for it is "tRNA-Ser". It matches the Rfam family "tRNA". Rfam says of the family: Transfer RNA (tRNA) molecules are approximately 80 nucleotides in length. Lineage: Archaea; Thermoproteati; Candidatus Bathyarchaeota. The record is from RNAcentral.
GCCGGGGUCUCCUAGUCUGGUAGGGAGCAGGCCUGCUAAGUCUGUGGCCCUUGGGGCCACACGGGUUCAAAUCCCGUCCCCGGCGCCA